AUCCUACGGGACGCAGCAGUGGGGGAUAUUGCACAAUGGGGGGAACCCUGAUGCAGCGACGCCGCGUGGGUGAAGAAGCGCCUCGGCGCGUAAAGCCCUGUCAGCAGGGAAGAAAAUGACAGUACCUAAGGAGGAAGCUCCGGCUAACUACGUGCCAGCAGCCGCGGUAAUACGUAGGGAGCAAGCGUUAUCCGGAUUUAUUGGGUGUAAAGGGUGUGUAGACGGGAAAUUAAGUUAGUUGUGAAAUCCCUCGGCUCAACUGAGGAACUGCAACUAAAACUGGUUUUCUUGAGUGUUGGAGAGGG
RNAcentral lists this ribosomal RNA (305 nucleotides) under uncultured bacterium. RNAcentral's name for it is "bacterial SSU rRNA". It matches the Rfam family "Bacterial small subunit ribosomal RNA", at positions 335 to 658 of the family's 1533-position model. The record is from RNAcentral.